UCCACAUGCAAAUGGCCCCUCUGCCCACUUCGCUUCAUUUCAUUGAAUGGGGUUCCGUUGUUUCAUUGCCCCCAACGCGUUGAAAGAUCACAGAUAUUUUAGUCUGAAAAGCCCUAUACGGAUUGACCAUGCAAUGAAUGCUUCCAUCAGGAUACACAGCCAACUAGUUUGCAUGCCCUUUCCGAAGGACCCUAUAAUGCGGAAUAGGUGGUUGGAGUCCGUUGGUCCCCAGUGGUGGCGAGUAUACUGAACAGCUACUGUUCAACUGAUGUAUAUCUUUUACUGAGACAGGCCCUCAACCACCGGAUGUAGUAUCUCCUGUGAUCACCCCAGGCCUCGGAAGACCUCUUCAACUACAACAGGAAGCAGUCAUACGACCGGGUCACGACCCCUCUUAUAACACCAUGAGUCAAGCGUAGCCCACCCCGUGAGCCGGCAGUGGAAGGUUCCGGUCUCACCGAGGAGCAAGGUGCGGAAGGAUCGUCGGGGGAGGAGAGGGAGACCUAGUCAGCACGUCAGAAUGAGGAAAAGAAAGAGAGAGAGAGAGGAGGAGGAGAGGAAACAUCUGUUAGAUAGCAGCCAUGUAACAUCAUUACACACAAGGCCCACCGGCUCACCUAAUACGGCCACAGCUGGGUUUAAUACAGCCUCCAUCCACAGGGGAAACUACUGUGUGACCCGACAUAGUCAGAACUAUGUACACAUCCAGCCAGGAGGCACCAGGGAGGGAAUGAUGGUGCUGCCUAAGCCCACAAUCGAGACUCACUGGGGAAGUGUCUGUUCGAGAGCCCCAAGCUUCUGGCCUGAACACGGGGCUGACAUUAUGGGAGCUAUUCUAAUGCUUUUGUUUGACAGCACUUCAUUUUUUGCAUUUUUUGUUUUUUGGACGAGAGGAGAGGCAGUGACCGAGGACAGAGAGGAAGUGACUGAGGAGUGUGAGAGAUAGAUACUGAGAAAGAGAGAGAGAGAGAGUAGUCUGCCGUAUGUGUUGGAUGUUAAUAAGACCGAUUAAUUUAACUGUGUUUUAUUUUAACAAGCAAGUUUUACACUCUCAUUAAACUCUUCUGUAGAGAAUUGGUGAAUGAUGUAACGUUUCUGUGCGAUGUUGAGGUAUUUCUCACUUGCCUUAUCACACGCCGGGUAAUUCUAGAACUAUCUGCUCCUUUACAGCAAUAGGCAUCCUUUUUAACAAAUGAGCCAGGUUUCUUCUGUUGUAUUUAUGCCUUGCCAAACUCUGAUAUUUUUCCCUGUGCCAGCUGUUUUCUUAGCUGAGGUAAAUCUCGAUAAAUCAAUAGGAGUUCAUCUGCUGAGAAGACUGCGUGCUGGCCUGUUUAAAAGGCCACUUCAUCUCCAUUGGUUCCAGAGCAUGAAUCAAGCCCUCAAUGAAGAAUCAACCGAGAAGUGAGUCAGAUAGCAGACUCUGUGUUCCUGAGCAACGAUAUGGGAAACAGAGAAGUCCCAUAUUUUAAAGGGGUAUGGUAUAGUGCUGGACCCAAUAUCCCAGGUAUGCAUCUUUUUUUUCAGGAGGUCGUUUCAACCCCGACAUAAAACCAUUCUUCCUCUAGCACUGUCUCAAUUAGGCAGAUGGUCUAUGUGUCGUAUGGUAAGCUGAUCGGAAUGCUGUGUUAUUUGACAUGUAACCCUAGCUUCACCGCCACAGUGAACGAGGACGUUUCGAGGUGAUAUAGAGCAGGAGAUGGGUGCAAAUCAUUUCUAUGAUCGCUCGUGUGUCAUGCAGGGUAAGGCCUUGGAAUUGCGUGCAUUCUGGACUCUAUGAUUCAUACUGAAAGAUCUCACCUUCCGUACAUUGGCAAAAUGUCACUUAACCUGUCGCUGGGGAUGAGGUAAGACCAGUCUGAGUUCAAAAUGGACUCCUUCAGAUGUCUCCUCUCUAUUGCAACAUAUUCAAAGAGUGUCUUCGUACUGUAGAGAAAGGUCAAAGGUGCUGAUUUGAUAUUGUGUGCGUCAAUCACUCCUCAAAACUGUAUGUCAGGGGCAGAGGGAGGGAUUGGAGGAGGGCGGGACUGGUCCAGUGGGCUGUAUGUAUAUAGGCUGGUCAAGCUGAAAUCUAAUGAGGAGCAGGAGAGGGCAAAAAAGGAGGAGGAGAGGACCUGCCCACAGGUUCUCGGGGCUUGAACCCAGCACGACCCCAGUGUGUUGACACAGGUUGCCCUCCUGCCCCUUUAACCCCCCUUUGGGAAUUAUUGAAUAGGGCCCCUCAAUGAUCGAGCCAAAUUGUUACCCAGUUUCAGUUGCAGCAUAAGGAGACAGUUAUGAUUCAAUCCAGUUGUAUCCUAAUUAAAUUAUCAAAUAAGAUGUUUCAUUUUCAUUCAUCAUGUUUUGUUUGGUCAAAUCAAUGGGGUAAUAUUAUAAAGAGAAUGAAGGUACACAUAGAAGAUGGUUGAGUUUUUGAUAUACACAACCGUUCAGAAGUUUG
Long non-coding RNA from Oncorhynchus tshawytscha (Chinook salmon), 2437 nucleotides. NCBI's taxonomy places the organism in Eukaryota, Metazoa, Chordata, Actinopteri, Salmoniformes, Salmonidae. The record is from Ensembl.